GUAGCUUCAAGUCUUUCGACGAAGAUUACUACACCAUUGUAGCUAAAAGAAGAGGAUUAUUCCAAUCUGAUUCAGCUCUUCUUGAUGAUGCUGAAACAAGAGACUAUGUCAGAUUUCAGUCAAGGACACAGGGAUCCACCUUUGCACAAGAUUUUGCUGAAUCCAUGGUGAAAAUGGGUUACAUUGGAGUCCUGACCGGCAAACAAGGCGAAAUCAGGAAACGUUGUGCUGUUGUGAAUUAAAUCGAUAUUUAAUUUCAUUUUCCAUACCUGAGUUGCUUGUAACGAAGUUGCAUAUUGUUCAUGUUUGAGUUGUCUUUUAUCUGCCUCUACUUUCUAUCUUUUUUCGCACUUGCAACCCAAAUGGUUGCAGGAUGUACUUAAUAAUUUUGAGGUUGUGCCAUUCCUUGUAUUUUAGUGAUUUAUUCAAUUUCUUCUAAUGAAUAUUACAACUUUCAUUAUUCUCUUAAUAUUGUAAUAUCUGCUACAUUUUGUUUUUGAAUAUUCCAGAAAAAUUCUUCCUUCUUUGAAUCACAUUCAUAUCAUCUUGCACCAAAUCCAAUAACUACAAGAUCCAUCAUCCUGAGUUAGUAAAUGAGAGUGUUCUGUGCAUUUAUAGGCCAUGAUUAUAUGCAGGAAGAGCAUCCCAGCAACUUAUCCAACAGCUCCACUGGAAUUAACAUAGUUUUACAGCAAGUUCAGUUUGGAAGAACAUUUUUACAAGUACAACAAAAUUAAUUAGUUUCAUGAAGUAAUUUAAUACUCAGGUUGGUAAUCCAUGCAAAUUUUCAUCAACCAAAUGUCUCUUAACUACAUGUCUAUGGAGGUGAGAUCAGCUAACUUAUUUAUCUGGCAAUGAUGCAAAAACAAUGUCCCAAAUCCGAUUCACACAGCCACCCCUUGGAACUUGUAAGUGCCCCAAUCUUCAAUGUAUUUUCCUGAAACGGCAAGAUUUCCAAACUUUUUUUCUUGUAUUUCAUUCACUUUAUUCUCACACAGCACCUGGAGUUAGAACCAAAAAAAGAAGAAGCAAGAACACAUUAUAUGUUGCUCAGUCAAUAUGCUUCUAUCAGGGACACUUCUGAUUUUCACUCCUGACAUGGUGACAGCAUUGAAUCUAACCGUUGGUUUAUCUGAUCAGGAUGUAAGAAGCAAGAACGCAAUAACCUGCAGGUUGGGAUUAGAAGCAGUGGAAACCUGUAUGCAGGCGAACUAUCUAUUGGAACAACAUUAGUCUUAUCAGCAUGCGCGCCUAGACAUGCUCGCACGCCCGUAUGCACUCGCGCGCGCGCGCACAGAUUUGGAGAAUUUCCUAAAACCAUUUUUUCUUCUAAAGCACCCACGACGCUUCAAUUAUAUGUAUUUUGAUCAUAAAAUAGAAGGAGAAUCGUAUCAUGAUUUUAACUUUCUGUACAUUUCUUUAAAUGUUUUAGAUGUGAUUAAAGAGAUUCCUGUCAUUGUGAGCAGGAAGUCAUUUAAAUUUUCUUUUAUGAUAAAACUAUUAUAUAUACAGGAAUAAAGUGUGAUCUGAGUUCCCUUAAUUUGUUUUAUAGCUUGCACCACUACUUCGAAUUCGGGUCGAGCUUACGUUAACCCAACUUUGGCUUCAAGGUCUGAAUAUUAGAUCCUCGAAAGAGUAAGAACAGUUUGCUUGCCAUUGUCAGCACGCCACAGAAACAAAGCACCUGUAAAAAACCCAGGCUAGUUAGGUCGAAAUCAAGAAGGGUGCGGUGCCAGCCAAGUUUCUUCGUAAUAUGAAAUGCACAAUCUUCGCCAUUUUUGGUAGCCACUUUCACAUCAAGCCGUUCGUCUUGCUGUUUGAUGUUGUCUGCAUUCUUAAUCAUCUGAGAUCCUUGCAUUCUGAGUUAUUCAAGGCUCUAUAAUCUCUUCAUUUUUAUAGAAGAGUGGGAACUGAUCAGAAUUCCCUAGUGGGUUUCCAUGCAGCGUGUGACAGUUAAUUAUUGAGCAGUUUUUUUCUGUAACAAAAGCGUAGAGUGAAUCCUGCUUAUUACACACGCAUGAUGUAAAGUCUUGUGUGUUUCUUCUGUCUUGAAAGGGCAACAUAAGUUAUUGGUUCAGCUAAAGAGUCUGAGAAUGGUCGAUGCACGUAUUUCUCACGUAUAUGGUUUCUUCGAAGCUAACAGAAGACAUGGUCUUGUAAAGUAUCAUGUGUCUGGGCGGAUAUUAACAAUAUUGCACGACCAGUUCCAGUUAAUACAAUAAUGCUUAAUCAAUAAAUAUUCAUUUAUUAUUAAAACAGCUAUGUUCGAUAGUACGAUUUCCUACCAACUCCUAGAAUCAAUAAUUAAAAUGCCAAUUAUAUUCAAUGUUGUUAAUAUGAUCAGUUCUUCACAAUCAAGUAAUUAAAAAUUCAGAUUUCACUGUCCUAUUUGUAGCGGCAGAACUCAGAAAACUUGAAAUAGCAUGUUAAAAUACUAUAAAAUUAUUCUUGAAACCUCUUUUUUCAUAAAGGUCAACAAGAGAGAAAUCAGAACAAGUCAUGGCAAUGUAUACUUAGCAGAAAGUCGUGUACGGCUUUCUUUAAACCUAGCAUUGACAUAUAAUAUUUCGUUUCGUGAGUAGGUCUUUGUUCUUGAGAGCUUGGUUGUUGUAAUAUCCUGAAAGGUCACACAGCAGCAUCUAUAAUCUAUGCCUGACUGCUUUGCCAAAUUAUUUUUGGUGGGUAGCCAAUGGGAGAAUGUUUAAUGCAAGUUGAGCUAUAUAUAAUUUAAACGGUUGAGUGUAGGCUAAGAUUCUGUUAACUAAUAUUUUCUGGGCAUGUUUUGAUAUGAACUCCACUCAUUCUAACGUAAAUUCUUCCAUUUAGACGUGCUUGAACCUUUUAUUCAAAUACAAUACUUCCCCUACCAUAAAACUUUCAAAUUUGUACGGAGUUUAGAAAACAUAUUUUAGAGGUUUCGAUAGUUUUUCUUUGCAAGUUUGCUGAUGUUUUUCAAUUUUCUCUCUCUUAUAUAUAUGCAUUAUUUAGCAAUGUAAAAUAUUAAUCAAACUGCCAUUUGAUUAGUUAUUAAUUUGUUGUGGGUCAGCUCUUAAAUUGUUGACUUUAUCAUAUAAACACCAACAAUUCGUAACUAAUCAAAUGACAGUUUGUGCAAAGACACUGUCAAAGGCCUUAUCUCAACUAUAAAAUGCCAGCAGACUUGUGUUCCUCACAAUCUCAUCCUUGAAGUACAGCUUCAAAACUUCACUCAAGGGAAAAUGGCAAUUCAAAAGCUUUUCGUGGUCUGCUUUCUUCAACUCGUUUUCGCCUUUUUGCUUGCAGGCCUCACUAAUGCAAGGGGGCUGCAACUUGGAUUCUACCGGAGAGCAUGUCCUGAUGCAGAGCUUAUAGUCCAUCAAACUCUUUAUCGUUACAUCUCUAGGGACCGAACCCUUGCUGCUCCUCUGCUAAGAAUGCAUUUCCAUGAUUGCUUUAUCAGGGUAAGCUUUUAAGCUAAAGUCCUAGCAUGCAAUUUACACAGUAUGUAUCUGAUAUCACCAUCAUCUCAUUGUUACCUUGCCACAAAAGCACUUGGAAAUCAAGCGUUUUCAUCUUGUUUAGGAAACCACACAAUUCCAUAUCCUAACAAGUUAUGCUUUCCAGGGAUGUGAUGGUUCCGUGCUCCUAAGUUCUACAAAGAAGAAUCAAGCUGAGAAAGACGCCAUCCCAAAUCAAACCUUAAGAGGGUUCAAUGUCAUUGAUGCUGUAAAAUCAGCUCUGGAAAAGAAGUGUCCUGGUGUGGUUUCCUGUUCCGAUAUCUUGGCCCUGGUUGCUCGUGACGCAGUUCUAAUGGUAUCAAAUUUUCCAACACAAUCUGUAACCACUCAUUAACUGCAUCACUAUGCCUCUGCUUAACCAGUUUUUCUUUUCAGAUUGGCGGACCACAUUGGGAUGUCCCCACAGGACGCAGAGACGGAAGAGUGUCGAUUGCCAACGAGGCUCUAUUCAAUUUACCAUCUCCUUUCGCCAACAUAACUGUCCUCAAACAACAAUUUGCUGCAACGGGUUUAAGUGUAAAGGACCUUGCAGUUCUAUCAGGUAGUUUUCGUAACAAAAAAAAGCUAUCUGUUAAGCAAAAUAGCAGUGUGUUUACUUGGAAUAUGUUUUGGUGACAGGAGGACACACCAUAGGAAUUGGACACUGUACCUUAAUCUCGAACAGGUUGUACAAUUUCACAGGCAAGGGAGAUACCGACCCUUCAUUGGACCCAAGAUACGCUGCUCAACUGAAGAAAAAAUGCAAGCCUGGAAACUCCAACACAGUCGUUGAGAUGGACCCCGGUAGCUUCAAGUCUUUCGACGAAGAUUACUACACCAUUGUAGCUAAAAGAAGAGGAUUAUUCCAAUCUGAUUCAGCUCUUCUUGAUGAUGCUGAAACAAGAGACUAUGUCAGAUUUCAGUCAAGGACACAGGGAUCCACCUUUGGACAAGAUUUUGCUGAAUCCAUGGUGAAAAUGGGUUACAUUGGAGUCCUGACCGGCAAACAAGGCGAAAUCAGGAAACGUUGUGCUGUUGUGAAUUAAAUCGAUUUUCUAUUGAUUUCCUGAACAUGCACGUGUGAUUUCAUUUGUAUCUGUUUCAUUUAUUUUCCCCCAAAUUUGCAACCCAAUUAGUUGCAGGAUGUACUUCAUAAUUUGAGGUUUUCCCUCCAUGUUAUUUCUUGUGAUUUAUUCAAUAUUUCCUUCAUACGAAUAUAAA
Molecule: long non-coding RNA, 4697 nt
Filed under: Populus tremula
Lineage: Eukaryota; Viridiplantae; Streptophyta; Magnoliopsida; Malpighiales; Salicaceae
Description: long non-coding RNA (PTRE_LNC002650)
Source: RNAcentral